This 518-nucleotide ribosomal RNA is filed under the name Takastenus sp. 1 BFS-2018. RNAcentral's name for it is "partial 16S large subunit ribosomal RNA". The stretch from base 387 to 518 matches the Rfam family "Archaeal large subunit ribosomal RNA", at positions 2542 to 2673 of the family's 2987-position model. Lineage: Eukaryota; Metazoa; Arthropoda; Insecta; Hymenoptera; Ichneumonidae. The record is from RNAcentral.
GUCUUUUUGUUUAUAAUUUAAAGUCAAAUCUGCUCCAUGAAUUUAUAUUUUAAAUAGCUGCAGUAAUUUAACUGUACAAAGGUAGCAUAAUCAAUAGUUUUUUAAUUAAAAGCUAGAAUGAAUGAUUUAAUAAGGUAAAUAUUGUCUCAAUUUUAAUAAUAUUAAAAUUUUUUUUUUAGUAAAAAUACUAAAUUAAAUUUAAAAGACGAGAAGACCCUAUAGAUUUUUAUAUUUUUAAUUAAUAAAAUUUUAAUUAAUAAAUAAAUUUUAAUAAAAAAAAUAUUUAAUUGGGGAAAUUAUUAAAUUAAAUUAAUUUUAAUAAAUAAAAACAAAAAUGAUUGAUUGAUUGAUCUUAAUUAUAAAUUAAUAGAAUAAAUUACCUUAGGGAUAACAGCGUAAUUUUUUUUGAGAGAUCUAAUUGAUAAAAAAGUUUGCGACCUCGAUGUUGAAUUAAGAUUAAAUUUUAAUGAAGAAGUUAAAAAUUUUUGGUCUGUUCGACCAUUAAAAUCUUACGUGAU